GUGGGGAAUAUUGGACAAUGGGGGGAACCCUGAUCCAGCCAUGCCGCGUGUGUGAAGAAGGCCUUUUGGUUGUAAAGCACUUUAAGCGAGGAGGAGGCUACCGAGAUUAAUACUCUUGGAUAGUGGACGUUACUCGCAGAAUAAGCACCGGCUAACUCUGUGCCAGCAGCCGCGGUAAUACAGAGGGUGCAAGCGUUAAUCGGAUUUACUGGGCGUAAAGCGCGCGUAGGUGGCCAAUUAAGUCAAAUGUGAAAUCCCCGAGCUUAACUUGGGAAUUGCAUUCGAUACUGGUUGGCUAGAGUAUGGGAGAGGAUGGUAGAAUUCCAGGUGUAGCGGUGAAAUGCGUAGAGAUCUGGAGGAAUACCGAUGGCGAAGGCAGCCAUCUGGCCUAAUACAGACACUGAGGUGCGAAAGCAUGGGGAGCAAACAGGAUUAGAAACCCCAGUAGUCC
RNAcentral lists this ribosomal RNA (451 nucleotides) under uncultured bacterium. RNAcentral's name for it is "partial 16S ribosomal RNA". It matches the Rfam family "Bacterial small subunit ribosomal RNA", at positions 354 to 796 of the family's 1533-position model. The record is from RNAcentral.